RNAcentral lists this long non-coding RNA (2853 nucleotides) under Homo sapiens (human). RNAcentral's name for it is "HSALNT0043738". The record is from RNAcentral. Lineage: Eukaryota; Metazoa; Chordata; Mammalia; Primates; Hominidae.
GCAUGGGGUGGGUAAUAGGGCAUGUGAUUUGAAUGAGUAUUCCCAGCCAUUUAAUAUAUUCACAAGUCAAACUAUAAAGUAUUUCUUUAAAAAAAUUAUAGUAUUUCACUGAAGUUUGAAUGUACUUUCUCUUGCCAAAAUAAUCAGAGUCUUUCAUUUUUCUAAUGAUAAAAAUGUGCUACAUGUGUAGGAAAAUUUCCCAAAUGAAAAAUAACAUUUUCUAUGGCAGCACAUACAGUGCUUGAAUUUUUCACCUUAGAUUUUAUUCUAGCCAGACCUAAACUCUGUCUUACUUGCAUAAUGAUAAUUCAUGUCGUCAAACCAAACGCACUGUUUGCUGCUCGUUUGUCCAGGAGCCAUCUUUUCCUAAAGUGAGCAAUAUUACGUGCAUUUUGUCUGGCUGGCCGAGGGCUCCUCCCUACAGCUUCUGCAGCCAUGGAAGAGUCUGGAAGGACAGUGUUCGCUUGUACAAGAAGAGGGAAGGAUAGGAUGAGAAAAGCAAAAUCUUGGAGAGUCUGUGGUCGGAAGAAGAAAGCUGAAGCUGGUUAGGAGGAAGGAGUGUGUGAGUGAAUUAGGAGCUGAAGCAGUAAAGUAGCUUUCCCUGUGACCCUGAUGUGUCGGGCAUUUCUGUCUUAGACUAAAAGCAUAAUAAAAAAGGCACUUUGUUUAGGUUAACAGAGCAUUAUAUAACUGGAAAGUUUUACAGUUUUAUAUAUAUAGUGAAUAGUUUGUAGAGGAUAAAAAGACUUCCCUUUGGUUUAUUAUUUGGGUAAAAUAAAAACCCACGAAUCAUUUAAGGAUGCAUUUCUUUUUCUUUUUUCUGCCUUUUUUUUUUUAAGACAAAAGCUUGAAGGCAUAAAAUGGAGUUAUUUUCAUCGGGAUAUCACCCUCGAUGCUGCUGCUUUACUACAUGUUCAUAGUCAAAAUUAUUUCAUGUUUCCCUUGAAUAACUACGAUCAGUUUGAAAACAGCUUUGUUAAUUAGUAAGAGAUGACGCAAUAUAUCACUGCAUCUUUAGGGCUCUGGCGCCAGCUAGUGGUAGGAGAGGGGAGCCGCCCUGUCGCUCUCAAAUCUGGGAAGGCGUCGGUCUUCUCGCGUCCCCUUAUCCCUCAUCCUCCUCAUUUUUUUUUUCCAUCAGCAUAAUGGGGGAAUCAUUGCAGUGUGGCCAGAGAGGAGCAGACGAGAUUAUAGAUGAAAGUAGAGAAAAACGGUGGGCAGGGGCAGGGAGAGGAAAGGCCAGACAAAUGCAAUCAUUUCUCCAAAGGAUUUGAGAAGAGAUCAUUUAUUUGAAAUAUUCCUGCCAUGUUGAUGGAGCAGCUCAAUCUUUUGCCAGUGAAUCUUUAGCGUUUUGUUUUUCAUUUGUAGAUAUGGUUGAACAUAUACUUAGGACACGUAAUAACUAUGGAACUUCAUCACAAACACAGCACUGAGGACAUGUUAAGGAGACAUGCAUACAAGGAGAAUGCCAGGUGAACGUGAAGACCAUCAUUUGCAAGCCAAGAGAGGCCUGGAGCAGAUCCUUCAGAGCCCUCAGAAGGGACCAACCCUGCUGGCACCUUGAUUUUGGACUUCCAGCCUCCAGAACUAAGAACUUGAUGUAUACCUCCUGACCUGUUCAUCUUGUAGCUGCCUCUUGACAGACUUGUGACUGCUUUGCCCAAAAAAGCAUGAUGGAAGUGAUGCCAUGAGGCUGUUACUGAGGCUGGAUCACAAGACCAUGCAGCUUCUGCCUUAUCACUCUUCAGCCCUGAGAUUCCAGAUAUAAGAGGCCGCCCUGUAGAGGAGGAAGGAGGAAGUUGGCUGUGAUUGACCUUGCUAGGUCAUCUUCCUAAUCUUUGUCCUUUCCUGCACCCCAAAUGGAAGAUAAAAGGCAAUGCAAGAUCAGCAUCCUCAGAGACAUCGUUUUGUUUGGGUUUCAUGGAUUGCAAUUGCCAGAGAUGCUUAGGCUGCCUCUAGAGGGAAGAUGAUUGAUUGUUAACCUAUGUGGUCCAACCAAAUGUCUUAGGGGUUAUUGAUAAUUAAAAUGGACAAUAGCGAUUUUCCAUUUCUUCUGGCCUUGGGUGCUGGCAUGUGGAAGUGGUAUUGAUACUCAUGACCAAAUAGGCACUUAUCGAUUUCAGUUUUCAUAAGUUGCCUACCAAAUGCAAACUAGUAACCCAGACGUGGGAGACCUAAUAUUCCAUUGUUAAUCUUUAGGUCCAUAAUUUUUAUUUCCUCUACUUGCCUCUUCUUCCUUCCUCUGCAUAAUGAGUUGGGCUUAUAUAAUUGCACCCAUUUACUCACUCAUUCGUUCAAUCAAUUAUUUGUUCCUAUUUUAUGCCAAGUAAUGAACAGAAGGUGUUGGGGAUGCAAAACCCAACUAAUUGGAAUUUCUAUGUUACAGGAGCUUAUGCUUUAGUGAAAUUAUAGACAAAUUAUUAUACAGUUUUAAUCCAGAAUAGUAAGUGCUAUGGGAGCAUGCACAGAGGAAACAACCCAAUCUUAAGGAAUCAGGAAGGUUUGCAGAGGACUGACAGGAAAAGUGGGCAGGUGAAGAAGAUGGGCAGUGAGAGGAGGAGUGGAAGCACUUUUGCUAGGGAAAAACAUGAAUAAAAGGGAUAAUUUUCUGCUCUUACCCCUGGGUGAUCUUUGCGUGGUACUGUCCAUCACAGUUGGGAGAGACGGCUCCUCAGAGCUGCUCCACACUGUUCACAGAGGAUGCCAUUCCAAGGAAACUGGGGAAUAGGGAAAGUCUUUAGCUUAUUCCUCUUUGAGGUUUGUUUGAGAUGCAGUUUCUUCAAUAUUUUGAGUCUAUGAAAACAUGUUGUAUACUUAAAUAUAUACCACAAAAAAUAAAAAAAAUUGCGAUUUAAA